GCGGGCGUAGCAAUACGUCAGCGGCAGACGGGUGAGUAACGCGUGGGAACGUACCUUUUGGUUCGGAACAACACAGGGAAACUUGUGCUAAUACCGGAUAAGCCCUUACGGGGAAAGAUUUAUCGCCGAAAGAUCGACCCGCGUCUGAUUAGCUAGUUGGUGGGGUAACGGCUCACCAAGGCGACGAUCAGUAGCUGGUCUGAGAGGAUGAUCAGCCACAUUGGGACUGAGACACGGCCCAAACUCCUACGGGAGGCAGCAGUGGGGAAUAUUGGACAAUGGGCGCAAGCCUGAUCCAGCCAUGCCGCGUGAGUGAUGAAGGCCCUAGGG
This 330-nucleotide ribosomal RNA is filed under the name uncultured bacterium. RNAcentral's name for it is "bacterial SSU rRNA". It matches the Rfam family "Bacterial small subunit ribosomal RNA", at positions 66 to 422 of the family's 1533-position model. The record is from RNAcentral.